GAUUUAGAGGAGGGACCCGGCCUAGCCGGUGGUUCAGGUGGCCGGUCGGGCUGGAAGGGCGGGGAUGAGGGAUGGGAAGCAUCCCGGGGGAUGCUCCUCCAAAGCUUUUAUCGGGCGAGCGCAGUGGCUCACGCCUGUAAUUCCUGCACUUUGGGAGGCUAAGGGUCUCACUCUAUUGUCUAGGCUCGAAUGCAGUGACGUGAUCAUGGAUCACUGCAGUCCUCAACUUACUGGGCUCAGGAUGAAAGGCUUCCUAGCACAAACACCACCCCUGGAGUUCCCGUUACAUCAAUACCAGCCUGGGGAUCACGUUCUCAUCAAGAGUUGGAAGAGGGAAAGCUUGAACCAGCUUAGGAGGACCUUAUCUGGUACUCUUGAUGAAUGAAACAGCAAUCUGAAUGGCUGAAAAAGGAUGGACCCAGCACUCCAGGGAGAAAACUUGGCAUUCUUUGGGAAUCUAACAGGAUGCAGUGAACCCAAGCCUUUUCAAGAGCUCACCAAUCAGACUGCCCUUGUCUAUCCAUGAGCAGAUGUUUGAUAGUAUUGCAGAGGACCUCUAAUGGGUAUGCUGCCAAGCAACUGGAGUGGCACUUGGGCUCUAAUCCAGUUGUCUAUCCCUUUCACCCUGGCAUUUCAUCAGCCAAACAAAAACCAACUAACUCAGAGAAAAAGGAAAUCCCCUCAAGGGUCCUUUGACCCCGAUAUCUACAUAGAUGCUAUCGGGGUCCCCUGAGGGGUACCAAACGAAUUCAAAGCUCGAAAUCAAAUAGCUGCUGGAUUCAAGUCUGUCCUUUUCUUGUGGUCUACUAUAAAUAAAAAUGUAGACUGGAUAAAUUACAUAUACUAUAACCAACAAUGAUUUGUCAAUUACACCAGGGAUGCCAUUAAAGGAAUAGCUGAACAAUUGGGUUUCACCAGCCAAAUGGCCUGGGAAAAUAGAAUAGCUCUUGACAUGAUAUUAGCGGAGAAAGGUGAAGUCCAAUGUUGUAUCUUUAUCCCCAAUAAUACAGCCCCUGAUGUAACUAUCACUAAGGGUCUAUAAGGCCUCACCACUCUAGGAAAUGAACUAGCUGAAAAUUCAGGAAUAAAUGAUCCCUUUACAGGUGUAAUGGAAAAAAUGGUUUGGUAGAUGGAAAGGACUAAUGGCCUGUAUUCUCACUUCCCUUGUGAUCAUAAUAGGGGUGCUCAUUCUCUUAGGGUGCUGUAUUACACCCUGUGUCUCCGGACUAGUUCAAAAGCUCAUAGAAACAGCCCUUACCAAGACCUCCCACAACUCUCCCCCACCCUAUUCAGAUAAACGUUUAUUUCUAAGCAACCAAGAAGAGCAGUGAAGCCAGAUCCUGUUAGAAGUAUAUGAAGAGGAAGGACUACAAAAUCAAAAGGGGAAAAUUAUUAGACAAAAUGAGUUGCUCUACAAAGGUCCAACUUCCUUGUCCUUUGUUCUGUAACCUUUGUUCUGUAAACUGCCCUUCCCGCAAAAACUGUCUUUCCCGCUGACCAAAACUGCCCUUCACUACCACUGUAAUCCAUACCCCUAAUCUAUUUGAAACUGCCAAUCGGGAUCAACUUACAUUGUGUGGUUCAACCACCAGCCAAUGAGGAAAAAACACAGAAGCAGAAGCUAUGAUGCAUUAGGGUUAAAAACCCCUUCCUUUCCCUGUCCAAUGUGCUCUUGAGACUGCUACAGGCGCAAGCAGCCACCUUCUGCAGAAGUAAACCUUGCCUUGCUGAGAAA
Long non-coding RNA from Gorilla gorilla gorilla (western lowland gorilla), 1735 nucleotides. RefSeq lists it as uncharacterized. The record is from RefSeq and is a predicted model, not a curated record. Lineage: Eukaryota; Metazoa; Chordata; Mammalia; Primates; Hominidae. The transcript has 4 exons.